UGGGGAAUAUUGGACAAUGGGGGCAACCCUGAUCCAGCAAUGCCGCGUGAGUGAUGAAGGUCUUCGGAUUGUAAAGCUCUGUCUUUUGGGACGAUAAUGACGGUACCAAAGGAGGAAGCCACGGCUAACUACGUGCCAGCAGCCGCGGUAAUACGUAGGUGGCGAGCGUUGUCCGGAUUUACUGGGCGUAAAGGGUGCGUAGGCGGAUGUUUAAGUGAGAUGUGAAAUACCCGGGCUUAACUUGGGUGCUGCAUUUCAAACUGGAUAUCUAGAGUGCAGGAGNGGAGAAUGGAAUUCCUAGUGUAGCGGUGAAAUGCGUAGAGAUUAGGAAGAACACCAGUGGCGAAGGCGAUUCUCUGGACUGUAACUGACGCUGAGGCACGAAAGCGUGGGUAGCAAACGGAUUAGAUACCCUGGUAGUCCACGCCGUAAACGAUGAGUACUAGGUGUAGG
RNAcentral lists this ribosomal RNA (453 nucleotides) under uncultured bacterium. Its description in RNAcentral is "partial 16S ribosomal RNA". It matches the Rfam family "Bacterial small subunit ribosomal RNA", at positions 355 to 826 of the family's 1533-position model. The record is from RNAcentral.